Lepus europaeus (European hare) is the source of this 426-nucleotide long non-coding RNA. RefSeq lists it as uncharacterized. Lineage: Eukaryota; Metazoa; Chordata; Mammalia; Lagomorpha; Leporidae. The record is from RefSeq and is a predicted model, not a curated record. The transcript has 5 exons.
AGUUAUGUGGAAUCCAUCAAUGAAAAAUGAGUGAAAAACAAAUGCAAUAUGUGUAUAUGUAUACAUGAACCCCCUGAAAGACACAGGCAACUAUAUACAAUACUUAAAAUUAAGCUACUACCUGUGAACUGAUUGAUAUAUAAGUACACGUGUGCAUAUCAUUAAUUUGAAUGUGAUUAUGGAUUGAAUUUAACCGCAUGGCGAUAUGAAGAGAUUCAAAAAGAAUCGUCUGUAUCGCUGGUUCUCUCAAAGGAAAAAUACUGAUACGGAUGAUAAUCCGUUGACAGACAUUUUGGUUGUCCCUAGCCAGAAUGUCAAUAAUAGCCCUGCUCUAAAUGAAGCAGCAUCCACUCAUGGCGGAGUCGAAAAUGAAAGCCCAAACCAGGGUAAACUGCACUCUGUCACUGUGGAAGACCCUAAUGAAUG